Molecule: non-coding RNA, 26 nt
Filed under: Rattus norvegicus (Norway rat)
Lineage: Eukaryota; Metazoa; Chordata; Mammalia; Rodentia; Muridae
Source: RNAcentral
CAGGAAGGGGGCAUUUCUCUCGUGGU